Long non-coding RNA from Gossypium arboreum, 639 nucleotides. RefSeq lists it as uncharacterized. The transcript is spliced from 2 exons. NCBI's taxonomy places the organism in Eukaryota, Viridiplantae, Streptophyta, Magnoliopsida, Malvales, Malvaceae. The record is from RefSeq and is a predicted model, not a curated record.
UGUAAUAAAAAGAAUAACAAAAUGGCAAGUGUAGGUGAAAUAAAAUAGAAAAAUUACUGAUGUACCAAAAAAUUGUCAUGUUUUGGACUGGAAAAUUGGUACUCAAAUAAAAAAUAUGCAAGUUGCAGACGAAUUUCAUACAUAUCCAUAUCUAAGACUUUUAUUAAGAAGUAUAUAUAAUUAUGCUGGAUUUGUACCAUCAAAUCCUAUUAUCACACUGUUUUGAAGUCGCUGACAAAUAUGGCAGGGGAGUACCCAAGAUCUGUACUGAUAGCCCUUGUUAUUUUCUCUCUGGUUGUGUCUCCCAUGUUACCUUGUGUUACGGCUCGUCCUCCUGUUGUAUGUCCUGCUUGUGUAUGUUGCGGGCCUCCACCACCAGGCGGAGCCUGCUGUAGCUGCGGAUGCGCUUCGGUUCAAUCUCCACCCUCCGAAAUGGCAACUCCUUGAGAUAGAUUACUGGAUUUUAGUUGCUUCAGGGAUCCAUUUAGUAGCUACAUAAAUGAUCCUUUAUUUUCUUUUCUUUUUCUGUGUGUUUUUCUGAAAUAAAUAAUGGUAUCCUUGAAUUGAAUAUGCUUAUAAGCAAUUUUUCUGUGGUUUUAGGGAAUAAAUAUCAAAAUUAUAUAUGAAUUUUGAUUCAAA